This 381-nucleotide ribosomal RNA is filed under the name uncultured eukaryote. Its description in RNAcentral is "partial 18S ribosomal RNA". It matches the Rfam family "Eukaryotic small subunit ribosomal RNA", at positions 592 to 976 of the family's 1831-position model. The record is from RNAcentral.
CAAUAGCGUAUAUUAAAGCUGUUGCGGUUAAAAAGCUCGUAGUUGGAUUUCUGUCGAGGACAACUGGUCCGCCCUCCGGGUGAGCACAUAGUUUGGUCUUGGCAUCUUGCUGGAAACUGUUGCUGCGCUUGGUUGUGUGGUGCAGCUUUCAGCACUUUCACUUUGAGGAAAUUGGAGUGUUUCAAGCAGGCACAUGCCUUUGGACACAGUAGCAUGGAAUAAUUAGAUUGGGCUUUUGCUCCAACUUGUUGGUUCCUGGAGCUGAGGUGAGAAUCAAUGGGGAUUGUUGGGGGCAUCCGAAUUUAGCCGUCAGAGGUGAAAUUCUUGGAUCUGCUAAAGACGGACAACUGCGAAAGCGUUUGCCCAGGAUGUUUUCAUUGA